GCCAGCAGCUAUAUCACCCUGCAGCUCUCAAUUGGCUACCGAUUGAAGUUAAGCAUGGUUAAGCCUGGUAAGUAACUGGUUGGGAGACCUCCUGGGAAGCUAUGGUUGCUGCUAGAA
RNAcentral lists this ribosomal RNA (117 nucleotides) under Lepisosteus oculatus (spotted gar). The record is from RNAcentral. Lineage: Eukaryota; Metazoa; Chordata; Actinopteri; Semionotiformes; Lepisosteidae.